This 253-nucleotide ribosomal RNA is filed under the name uncultured bacterium. Its description in RNAcentral is "partial 16S ribosomal RNA". It matches the Rfam family "Bacterial small subunit ribosomal RNA", at positions 524 to 776 of the family's 1533-position model. The record is from RNAcentral.
UACGAAGGGGGCGAGCGUUGUUCGGAAUUACUGGGCGUAAAGGGCGCGCAGGCGGUCCUUCAAGUCAGAUGUGAAAGCCCCGGGCUCAACCUGGGAACAGCAUUUGAGACUGGAGGACUUGAGGACGGGAGAGGAGAGUGGAAUUCCCAAUGUAGAGGUGAAAUUCGUAGAUAUUGGGAAGAACACCAAUGGCGAAGGCAGCUCUCUGGACCGUUACUGACGCUGAGGUGCGAAAGCGUGGGGAGCAAACAGG